GGAGAGGUCGCAUAGUUGGUCUAGUGCGCUGCACUCGAAAUGCAGUAUAGGGGCAACUCUAUCGGGAGUUCGAAUCUCCCCCUCUCCGCCA
RNAcentral lists this transfer RNA (91 nucleotides) under Candidatus Saccharimonadota bacterium. Its description in RNAcentral is "tRNA-Ser". It matches the Rfam family "tRNA". Rfam says of the family: Transfer RNA (tRNA) molecules are approximately 80 nucleotides in length. Their secondary structure includes four short double-helical elements and three loops (D, anti-codon, and T loops). The record is from RNAcentral. Lineage: Bacteria; Candidatus Saccharimonadota.